This 462-nucleotide long non-coding RNA is filed under the name Anser cygnoides (Swan goose). RNAcentral's name for it is "lncRNA (ENSACDG00005004821.1)". Lineage: Eukaryota; Metazoa; Chordata; Aves; Anseriformes; Anatidae. The record is from RNAcentral.
AUGCAGGUGAGUGAUACCAAGAAGCUAUUUACAAGGAAGGGGCAAGAAGUGUAUCGUGCAUGCAGUGGGGUGGCAUUUGUCAGGCUCAGUGUAGCCAGCUGUAGUGUGAAGGAUUGCAGCAGAGAGUCUCCCUAUGCUCCCUCCCUUUGUGCUCAGCAGCUGGAGCUUGUAGCCAGCUCCCUCUGUCUUGCUGGAGGCACAGAUCAGCAAGAUUGGAGGGGAAGGAGGAUGAAGGAUUACUGGCCCACCUCGCCUGGGAUGGGAUGGUGGCCACAGGCUCUGGUGUCCACAGAGCUCCCUGUGCUAUGCCCUGCUUGUCAAGCCUCCCUCAGCAUCUGUAACGGCUCCCAUCAAAAUUUUGAAACUACGCAAGUCCACUUGUGUUCAAGAGCUGCUGUACUGCUGGAAAUUAAAAUAGGUCAGGGUCAAAUGUUUGUACAGAUAUUACAAAUAUUUAAUUGA